This 547-nucleotide ribosomal RNA is filed under the name Lanthanomelissa clementis. RNAcentral describes it as "partial 16S ribosomal RNA". The stretch from base 383 to 542 matches the Rfam family "Bacterial large subunit ribosomal RNA", at positions 2473 to 2632 of the family's 2925-position model. Lineage: Eukaryota; Metazoa; Arthropoda; Insecta; Hymenoptera; Apidae. The record is from RNAcentral.
GCUUAUUGUUAAUAAUUUUAAGUCAAUCUGCUCAAUGAUUAAUUAAAUAGCUGCAGUAUAUCUGACUGUACAAAGGUAGCAUAAUCAAUUGUCUUUUAAUUAAAGGCUGGAAUGAAAGAAUUAAUGAAAUAUAUUCUGUCUCAAUUAUAAUUAAUGAAAUUAAAUUUUUAGUUAAAAUGCUAAAAUAUUUUUAUGGGACGAUAAGACCCUAUAGAAUUUUAUAUUAAUAAUUAAUUAUUUAUUAUUAAUAUUUUUUAUUAAUUAAUUAUUAAUAUUUUAUUGGGAGGAUUAUUAAAUUUAUUAAACUUUAAUUUUAUAAUUUCUAUAAUGUUAGAAUAAAUUAAAGAUAUUUAUUAAAAAUUUAAGAAUAAAUUACCUUAGGGAUAACAGCGUAAUAUUCUUUUGAGAGAUCUUAUUGAUAAAGAUGAUUGCGACCUCGAUGUUGAAUUAAGAUAAAUUUUAAAUGCAGGAGUUUAAAUAUUAAGUUUGUUCAACUUUUAAAAUCUUACAUGAUUUGAGUUCAGAUCGACGUGAGUCAGAUUGGUUU